CGGGACGGGUGAGUAAUGUCUGGGAAACGGCCCGACUGGAGGGGGAUAACUACUGGAAACGGUAGCUAAUACCGCAUAAUGUCUGCGGACCAAAGCGGGGGACCUCCGGGCCUCGCGCCAUCAGAUGAACCCAUAUGGGAUUAGCUUGUAGGUAAGGUAACGGCUUACCUAGGCGACGAUCCCUAGCUGGUCUGAGAGGAUGAUCAGCCACACUGGGACUGAGACACGGCCCAG
RNAcentral lists this ribosomal RNA (234 nucleotides) under uncultured bacterium. Its description in RNAcentral is "partial 16S ribosomal RNA". It matches the Rfam family "Bacterial small subunit ribosomal RNA", at positions 100 to 334 of the family's 1533-position model. The record is from RNAcentral.